Vicia faba (fava bean) is the source of this 303-nucleotide non-coding RNA. NCBI's taxonomy places the organism in Eukaryota, Viridiplantae, Streptophyta, Magnoliopsida, Fabales, Fabaceae. The record is from the annotation of a GenBank genome assembly.
AUGGAGCCUUCUCCGUCUCACUCUCUCCGUCAAACAUCUAAAUCUUCGCCUCAACCUUCUUUUGAUUUGUCUCAAUAUCGAGUUCAACUAUCUCCUCUGUUUCUGAUAUGUACAAUCGCCCUCACUUCAACAUUGAUACGAAGUUUCAGCCUCCUUUCAACAACUUCUUCACUGAGUUCCAUCUCAGCUUAUCUCAACAGCCGCGGCUUCAACGUAGAGCUUCACCUUCUUCAAUUUUGUAAAUUUUAUGUGCGUCAAUGUUGCUACGUGUGCGAAUCGUCAUUGGUUGUUGACUGUCGAUGA